This is a small nuclear RNA of Artibeus jamaicensis (Jamaican fruit-eating bat), 107 nucleotides long. Lineage: Eukaryota; Metazoa; Chordata; Mammalia; Chiroptera; Phyllostomidae. The record is from RefSeq and is a predicted model, not a curated record.
GUGCUCGCUUCGGCAGCACCUAUACUAAAAUUGGAAAGAUACAGAGAAGACUAGUGUGGCCCCUGCACAAGGAUGACAAGCAAAUUUGUGAAGCGGUCCACAUUUUU